Syngnathoides biaculeatus (alligator pipefish) is the source of this 524-nucleotide long non-coding RNA. RefSeq lists it as uncharacterized. The record is from RefSeq and is a predicted model, not a curated record. The transcript is spliced from 3 exons. Lineage: Eukaryota; Metazoa; Chordata; Actinopteri; Syngnathiformes; Syngnathidae.
AGUGCAGUAGCCUAUUUGAUAUAAAUUUCACUCGGUCUACAUUUUCAUAUCUGAAGUUUGGCAAACUUAUUUUGCUUGUUUGGACUCAUAUUUUAAGUUUUCAAAAUAUUAUGAUUGCCCUGUAUUUACACUGUUAGAAGUAACCACAGGUCACCAUUUAGCAGUGUAUUUUAUAAAAAAAAUAAAAAUAAUCAUAAUUCUUGCCUGAGGCAGACAUUUUCAGUGUUUUUCCAAAUUGGUCAUUUGUCAUCCCCGAUGAACGCUGCGGCCGUCGCGCAGUGGCAAUGUCUAAUUUGCGCCACCAGGGGGCGCCCUCGUCCAGGUUGCGCCACCGCACGUUUCUUAGCGCUCGGCACGUCGCCGCCCAUCUGCAGUCUGCACAUCAUUUGCUCCAAGGAACUCGUCGGCGUCUGACCUGAGACCAUGGGCACCACAGAUCAUCCGGUACUCCGAUACCAAAGACAGACGCGCCUCCUCCAGCCGUCUAGCAAAGUCGCUCAUUUAUUAAAGCAAAGCGAGGCCGA